AAACCAACAGGGAUUGCCUCAGUAGCGGCGAGUGAAGCGGCAAGAGCUCAGAUUUGAAAUCGUGCUUUGCGGCACGAGUUGUAGAUUGCAGGUUGGAGUCUGUGUGGAAGGCGGUGUCCAAGUCCCUUGGAACAGGGCGCCCAGGGGGGUGAGAGCCCCGUGGGAUGCCGGCGGAAGCAGUGAGGCCCUUCUGACGAGUCGAGUUGUUUGGGAAUGCAGCUCCAAGCGGGUGGUAAAUUCCAUCUAAGGCUAAAUACUGGCGAGACCGAUAGCGAACAAGUACUGUGAAGGAAAGAUGAAAAGCACUUUGAAAAGAGAGUGAAACAGCACGAGAAAUUGUUGAAAGGGAAGGGUAUUGCGCCCGACAUGGGGAUUGCGCACCGCUGCCUCUCGUGGGCGGCGCUCUGGGCUUUCCCUGGGCCAGCAUCGGUUCUUGCUGCAGGAGAAGGGGUUCUGGAACGUGGCUCUUCGGAGUGUUAUAGCCAGGGCCAGAUGCUGCGUGCGGGGACCGAGGACUGCGGCCGUGUAGGUCUCGGAUGCUGGCAGAACGGCGCAACACCGC
RNAcentral lists this ribosomal RNA (562 nucleotides) under Pichia kudriavzevii. Its description in RNAcentral is "partial large subunit ribosomal RNA". It matches the Rfam family "Eukaryotic large subunit ribosomal RNA", at positions 62 to 648 of the family's 3401-position model. The record is from RNAcentral. Lineage: Eukaryota; Fungi; Ascomycota; Pichiomycetes; Pichiales; Pichiaceae.